Molecule: transfer RNA, 84 nt
Filed under: Chloroflexota bacterium
Lineage: Bacteria; Bacillati; Chloroflexota
Description: Chloroflexi bacterium tRNA-Ser
Rfam family: tRNA
About the family: Transfer RNA (tRNA) molecules are approximately 80 nucleotides in length.
Source: RNAcentral
GGAGAGGUCGCAUAGUGGACUAGUGCGCACGCCUGGAAAGUGUGUAGGGUAAUACCCUCGUGGGUUCGAAUCCCACCCUCUCCG